RNAcentral lists this ribosomal RNA (253 nucleotides) under uncultured bacterium. RNAcentral's name for it is "partial 16S ribosomal RNA". It matches the Rfam family "Bacterial small subunit ribosomal RNA", at positions 524 to 776 of the family's 1533-position model. The record is from RNAcentral.
UACGUAGGUGGCGAGCGUUGUCCGGAUUUACUGGGCGUAAAGAGCGCGCAGGCGGCUGGUCAAGUCCGAUGUGAAAGCUCCCGGCUUAACUGGGAAAUUGCAUCGGAAACUGAUCGGCUGGAAGGUGGGAGAGGGUAGCGGAAUUCCCGGUGUAGUGGUGAAAUGCGUAGAUAUCGGGAGGAACACCAGAGGCGAAGGCGGCGACCUGGACAGUGACUGACACUCAACUGCGAAAGCGUGGGGAGCAAACAGG